AAACUUAAAUGAAUUGACGGGUCCCGCACAAGCAGCGGAGCGUGUGGUUUAAUUCGAUGCUACACGAAGAACCUUACCUGGGUUUGACAUAGAGGUAGUAGGGAAGCGAAAGCGGACCGACCCUUCGGGGAGCCUCUACAGGUGUUGCAUGGCUGUCGUCAGCUCGUGUCGUGAGAUGUUCGGUUAAGUCCGCUAACGAGCGCAACCCUCGCUGUGUGUUACAAGUGUCACACGGUACUGCCGAUAUUAAGUCGGAGGAAGGUGGGGAUGACGUCAAGUCAGCAUGACCUUUAUAUCCAGGGCUACACACACGCUACAAUGGCCAGUACAAUGGGUUGCCAAGCCGCGAGGCGGAGCCAAUCCUAAAAAGCUGGCCUCAGUUCAGAUUGCAGUCUGCAACUCGACUGCAUGAAGUUGGAGUUGCUAGUAACCGCAGGUCAGCAAUACUGCGGUGAAUACGUUCCCGGGGAUU
Molecule: ribosomal RNA, 472 nt
Filed under: uncultured Anaerolineaceae bacterium
Lineage: Bacteria; Bacillati; Chloroflexota; Anaerolineae; Anaerolineales; Anaerolineaceae
Description: bacterial SSU rRNA
Rfam family: Bacterial small subunit ribosomal RNA
Source: RNAcentral